GUGAUAGCUGGUUACUCAAGAAACGGACCUUAGUCCAUCCUAAAGUUAGUCUAAUACGACAAAAUUAUCCCUUAACUUUAGAGCAAUUCAAAUAAGGUACAGCCUAUUUGAAACAGGAUACAACCUCAACUAACGGGUUCGGCGCUUAGUGCCACCCGACUAAGUGGGCCCGAGAGCAGCCACCUUUCAAAAAGCGUCAAAGCUUAAUUAUCCACCACCACAAUCCCAAAAUUCUCCCCCAACCCUUUUACAGUAAUGAGUAAUUCUAUACCCCUAUAGAACUUUUUAUGUUAAAACUAGUAAUAAGAAGAUGACCCUUCUCUUAAAUGCAAACAUAAACCAGAAAGGACACACCGCUGGUAAUUAACACCCAUGAGCUGCUAAUAGCAACGUUAUGAAAAACCCCUAUUUAUCAAUAUGUUAACCUGACACAAGAGCAUUAAAAGAAAGAUUAAAAGGAAAAGAAGGAACUCGGCAAACAUCAACCUCGCCUGUUUACCAAAAACAUCGCCUCUCGAACAAAUAUGAGAGGUCCAGCCUGCCCAGUGACUCUGUUCAACGGCCGCGGUAUCCUAACCGUGCAAAGGUAGCGUAAUCACUUGUCCUUUAAAUGGGGACUAGUAUGAACGGCACCACGAAGGUUACACUGUCUCCUUUUCCCAAUCAGUGAAACUGAUCUCCCCGUGAAGAAGCGGGGAUACACAUAUAAGACGAGAAGACCCUAUGGAGCUUUAAACAAGGUAACAACCGCCACCUUAUUCAAAUUUCAGAAUACUUGCCCUUACCCUGGCGGCAUGAUUACUAGUUUUAGGUUGGGGUGACCGCGGAGAAUAAACCAACCUCCGUGUUGAAGGGGGGGCCUCCCCUAAGCAAAAAACCACAACUUUAUGCAUCAAUAAAUUGACAUUAAUUGACCCAAUAUUUUGACCAACGAACCAAGUUACCCUAGGGAUAACAGCGCAAUCCAUUUUGAGAGCCCCUAUCGACAAAUGGGUUUACGACCUCGAUGUUGGAUCAGGGUAUCCCAGUGGUGCAGCCGCUACUAAAGGUUCGUUUGUUCAACGACUAAAACCCUACGUGAUCUGAGUUCAGACC
RNAcentral lists this ribosomal RNA (1095 nucleotides) under Fritziana izecksohni. RNAcentral's name for it is "partial 16S ribosomal RNA". It matches the Rfam family "Bacterial large subunit ribosomal RNA", at positions 842 to 2617 of the family's 2925-position model. The record is from RNAcentral. Lineage: Eukaryota; Metazoa; Chordata; Amphibia; Anura; Hemiphractidae.